This 815-nucleotide small RNA is filed under the name Pongo abelii (Sumatran orangutan). RNAcentral's name for it is "retained intron". The record is from RNAcentral. Lineage: Eukaryota; Metazoa; Chordata; Mammalia; Primates; Hominidae.
CGCGUCCGCCCCGCGAGCACAGACCCUCGCCUUUGCCGCUCCACCGCCCGUCCACACCCGCCGCCAGCUCACCAUGGAUGAUGAUAUCGCCGCGCUCGUCGUCGACAACGGCUCCGGCAUGUGCAAGGCCGGCUUCGCGGGCGACGAUGCCCCCCGGGCCGUCUUCCCCUCCAUCGUGGGGCGCCCCAGGCACCAGGUAGGGGAGUUGGCUGGGUGGGGCGGCCCCGGGAGCGGGAGGCAAGGGCGCUUUCUCGCACAGGAGCCUCCCGGUUUCCGGGGUGGGGGCCGCGCCCGUGCUCAGGGCGCCUUGUCCUUUCCUUCCCAGGGCGUGAUGGUGGGCAUGGGUCAGAAGGAUUCCUAUGUGGGCGACGAAGCCCAGAGCAAGAGAGGCAUCCUCACCCUGAAGUACCCCAUCGAGCACGGCAUCGUCACCAACUGGGAUGACAUGGAGAAGAUCUGGCACCACACCUUCUACAAUGAGCUGCGUGUGGCUCCCGAGGAGCACCCCGUGCUGCUGACCGAGGCCCCCCUGAACCCCAAGGCCAACCGCGAGAAGAUGACCCAGAUCAUGUUUGAAACCUUCAACACCCCAGCCAUGUACGUGGCUAUCCAGGCUGUGCUGUCCCUGUACGCCUCUGGCCGUACCACUGGCAUCGUGAUGGACUCCGGUGACGGGGUCACCCACACUGUGCCCAUCUACGAGGGGUAUGCCCUCCCCCAUGCCAUCCUGCGUCUGGACCUGGCUGGCCGGGACCUGACUGACUACCUCAUGAAGAUCCUCACCGAGCGCGGCUACAGCUUCACCACCACGGCCG